Mesocricetus auratus (golden hamster) is the source of this 87-nucleotide non-coding RNA. NCBI's taxonomy places the organism in Eukaryota, Metazoa, Chordata, Mammalia, Rodentia, Cricetidae. The record is from Rfam.
AAUGCUUUGCUGAAGCUGGUAAAAUGGAACCAAAUCGGCUGUUGGAUGGAUUUGGUCCCCUUCAACCAGCUGUAGCUGCGCAUUGAU